RNA transcript from Terrapene triunguis (Three-toed box turtle), 1570 nucleotides. It is a transcript of the gene named MYST/Esa1 associated factor 6, with no coding region annotated. The transcript has 7 exons. The record is from RefSeq and is a predicted model, not a curated record. Lineage: Eukaryota; Metazoa; Chordata; Testudines; Emydidae.
CCGUGGCAACAGGCACAAAUCCGCAGGCAUCUCCUGCAUCCUCUCCCUUCCCCCUUUUCCAACUGUUCCCAUCCCUCCCUGCCUGCUCCUUGCAGCAGGUGUAAACGGUGAGAUCUGGGGGAGUUGACCCACGUCCAGAGCUCACCCAGCCUCUGCAGACUCCUGGGGGUCCCUUGGCUAUGGCCAGCUAUGGUACCCCUGGGUCAUUGACCGGCUCUGGGGAUGUGCUGGCAUUAGCCUCUUCUUGUUUUGUUCUGUGCUUCUUAUACCAGGAGACCCUAGCGAACUUGGAGAGGCAGAUCUAUGCUUUUGAGGGCAGCUACUUAGAGGACACCCAGAUGUACGGCAACAUCAUCCGUGGCUGGGACCGCUACCUGACAAACCAGAAAAACUCAAACAGCAAAAACGACCGAAGGAACCGGAAAUUUAAAGAAGCUGAACGACUCUUCAGCAAAUCUUCGGUCACCUCAGCAGCAGCAGUCAGUGCAUUGGCCGGUGUUCAGGACCAGCUCAUUGAAAAGCGCGAGCCAGGUAGUGGGACAGAGAGUGAUACUUCUCCAGACUUUCACAAUCAGGAGAAUGAGCCCAACCAGGAGGAUACUGAAGAGCUGGAUGGGUCUGUGCAGGGAGUGAAACCCCAGAAAGCCGCUUCUUCCACCUCCUCGGGGAGUCAUCACAGCAGCCACAAAAAACGGAAGAACAAAAAUCGACACAGGUAUGUAUAUUAGGUUAGGCUGGGAAGUUUUUUUAAAAAACAGAAAAACAUGACAGAGGAUUGAUCUCAAGUUAAACAAAAAGCCCCGAGCUGACUACUAGACUCAUCGGUGCCGAAGCUUCCCGGAUCUAGGCCCCCACAUUGAGUCCACACUAAGAAAAACAUCAAUCGACUGAAUGAGCACAAUGGGCAGCUCUCCCACCGAGUGUCUGCACACGGGAGUAGUUCUUACUAAAGUGUGGGGGGGAAAUAGUCUUGUUUGGCUACAUUGGACCAUGUACUCUGUGUCAUUUUAAAAUCACCUGAAAUGCAGGAGGACUAAGCUGUGGUGUCACCAAUCUCUGGUUCCCGAGUGCGACAUUCUUCCCCCACAGCUGGCAACACUCACCCUGCAAUCAGCUGGUUUUGCUGCUGCCAUCACCAUUGUCUGUAAUAACCAUUGAGAGAUGUCGUUGUUUCAUUUUAUACUGGAAUGGGGGCGUGGCUCCGUGUGUCCCAUGCAGGUUGUAAAUCUGUUAGGUUAUUUUUUUAAUACUGAUAUUUAGUUUGUUUGUUUUUUUAAACCAAACUGUACAGUUGACAAAUUGGCUUUUGAUUUUUCUUCCUUAAAUCUGAUUAGGCUGUUCAUUUUGCAGAACGAUCCACUUGAAUUCUUACCUUAGUAGAGAAGAAAGUGGCUCACCCCUUUCCUUUAUCUUUGAUUUUAACAUUUCCCCUCCGGUUUGUUCGGGGCACUGAGCUACAGGGAGCGGUUAGAACUCAAAGCCGUCUUGCUCUUAAGGUUGGGUGGAUUCUCUUUUUAAUACAAACGUCUGUCAUUUGUAUAUAAAACAAUAAAAGUCACGUUUGUCUCUC